GCAAAGCAAGGGAGGUGAUUAUUCCUCUCUAUUCUGCCCUGCUCACAAUGGAAAGAGUCAUCUGAAUGGGGAGCACCAGCCCCGGCGGAGAGCGGAUCAUGAGAACCACAGCUUCCAUGAGUCACUGCGGUAGAUGCAUGGGACACAGAAGAUCAGGCCAGCGACUUUCAACAUCUUCUAUUUAAAAAUUGCUUUUUGCCUUUGAAUAGGAAGACAACACUGGAAGGGUU
Meleagris gallopavo (turkey) is the source of this 230-nucleotide non-coding RNA. The record is from RefSeq and is a predicted model, not a curated record. NCBI's taxonomy places the organism in Eukaryota, Metazoa, Chordata, Aves, Galliformes, Phasianidae.